GACGAACCGUGCGAACGUUGUUCGGAAUCACUGGGCUUAAAGGGCGCGUAGGCGGGCGAUCAAGUCAGGGGUGAAAGCCCCCAGCUCAACUGGGGAAGUGCCUCUGAUACUGGUAGUCUCGAGGGAGGUAGGGGCGUGCGGAACUUCCGGUGGAGCGGUGAAAUGCGUAGAUAUCGGAAGGAACGUCGGUGGCGAAAGCGGCGCGCUGGACCUCUUCUGACGCUGAGGCGCGAAAGCUAGGGGAGCAAACAGG
Molecule: ribosomal RNA, 253 nt
Filed under: uncultured bacterium
Lineage: Bacteria
Description: partial 16S ribosomal RNA
Rfam family: Bacterial small subunit ribosomal RNA
Source: RNAcentral